Molecule: unclassified non-coding RNA, 329 nt
Filed under: soil metagenome
Description: partial contains 5.8S ribosomal RNA, internal transcribed spacer 2, and large subunit ribosomal RNA
Rfam family: 5.8S ribosomal RNA (bases 1-120)
Source: RNAcentral
GAUGAAGAACGCAGCGAAAUGUGAUAAGUAAUGUGAAUUGCAGAAUUCAGUGAAUCAUCGAAUCUUUGAACGCACAUUGCGCCCCUUGGUAUUCCGAGGGGCAUGCCUGUUCGAGCGUCAUUAUAACCCCUCAAGCUCAGCUUGGUGUUGGGGCCUGCUGCACUGGCAGCCCUUAAAAUCAGUGGCGGCGCCAUCUGGCUCUAAGCGUAGUAAUUCUUCUCGCUAUGGAGUCCUGGUGGAUGCUUGCCAUCAACCCCCAAUUUUUCUAUGGUUGACCUCGGAUCAGGUAGGGAUACCCGCUGAACUUAAGCAUAUCAAUAAGCGGAGGA